This 233-nucleotide long non-coding RNA is filed under the name Physcomitrium patens. Its description in RNAcentral is "long non-coding RNA (PPAT_LNC005163)". Lineage: Eukaryota; Viridiplantae; Streptophyta; Bryopsida; Funariales; Funariaceae. The record is from RNAcentral.
AAAUGAUGUAUCUAAUUUUAUUUUUUAAUUAUCAUUUAUUAACAUUUUAAAACAAUGUAUACAUCCAAAUUUUGUUUAAAUUAUACUUGAAUUUUGUUUAAAAAAAGGUUAAUUUAGAUGAAUUUGGCCACAUAGAAACAACAUCUGAUUUGAAUUACAAUUGUGAUAAGUGCAAGGAAAUGGCCUACUAAAAAGCACAACUUGAUCCUCCAUCACCUUUGCAAUGUCAUUCA